Molecule: ribosomal RNA, 253 nt
Filed under: uncultured bacterium
Lineage: Bacteria
Description: partial 16S ribosomal RNA
Rfam family: Bacterial small subunit ribosomal RNA
Source: RNAcentral
UACGAAGGGAACUAGCGUUGUUCGGAAUCACUGGGCGUAAAGCGUGAGUAGGCGGCUGUAUAAGUCAGAUGUGAAAUCCUUAAUCUUAAGUUAAGAACUGCAUUUGAAACUGUACAGCUUGAGAGUAGUAGGGGAUAUUGGAAUUCCAAGUGUAGAGGUGAAAUUCGUAGAUAUUUGGAGGAACACCAGUAGCGAAGGCGUAUAUCUGGGCUACAACUGACGCUGAGUCACGAAAGUAUGGGUAGCAAACAGG